RNAcentral lists this long non-coding RNA (805 nucleotides) under Helianthus annuus (common sunflower). RNAcentral describes it as "hypothetical non coding rna". The record is from RNAcentral. Lineage: Eukaryota; Viridiplantae; Streptophyta; Magnoliopsida; Asterales; Asteraceae.
UUUAUUAAAACAAAAAUCACACACACACCCACACAAGGUGUGUGUGUGAUCGAGCAGGAGAAAAGGGGAAGGAGUGUAAACCCUAACCCACAUGAAAUCAUCAAAUUGGAAAAGGAUUUGAGGGUUAAUUGAAUGCAUGAACCAAGAUUUAUGAUCACUCAAGCGUUCUUGACACCAAGAUAGGAAUCCCAAAUUGACAUGGACUCAAGUAUGGAAAGCUAACGGGUCAAGCGGAGGUGAGGAAGCAAGCAUGAACACUAACGCUUAAGGUAAGUGAUUCCGUAAUCACUUCUUAGUUGUUUAUGUAAUGUUAUAUGCAAUUUAAUUAUAUGUGAUAAUUGAGGUCGAAUAGGAAUGAAUUGUAUGAUGUCAAUGAAGUAUUAAACGGAUUUUAGUUUUGAUCCGAGCAAGGUAGGUGUGAUUAAGAAAUUGUAGCUAAGUAGUGGAAUUGAUUACUUAUGUAAGGAAUUCCUUUGUUAUUAAGGAUAGAGCAUAGUUGACUAAAAUGCCCUUGAUAGGUAUAUCGGGCAAACGACCUUAGAAGUCGUUUGGAAACGAGCUAUUCGAUUAGAGUAAUGUCUUGGACAAGUAUGAAAGAGAAGUAUAGGGUUUGGUAUGUCAUAGUCCACUUAAUGCGCAAAUACCCAUAACGGGUCAAAAAUAAGCCUUUGAGCGAAAAUGGGUUAAGAGGAUGCAAGACGUCCGAGAAUUUAAUCGUUUAUGAUAGGUACCAAUGAAAUUAUUAAAGUUCAUAUGAGAUUGAGAUCAAAUAAACAGAUUAUGUUGAUAAAUGCACGAACGGGUC